This 27-nucleotide non-coding RNA is filed under the name Bombyx mori (domestic silkworm). Lineage: Eukaryota; Metazoa; Arthropoda; Insecta; Lepidoptera; Bombycidae. The record is from RNAcentral.
UAGAAGCGUCAGUGCUGUUUAAUGUGC